GUACACGGUGGAUGCCCUGGCAGUCAGAGGCGAUGAAGGACGUGCUAAUCUGCGAUAAGCGCCGGUAAGGUGAUAUGAACCGUUAUAACCGGCGAUUUCCGAAUGGGGAAACCCAGUGUGAUUCGUCACACUAUCAUUAACUGAAUCCAUAGGUUAAUGAGGCGAACCGGGGGAACUGAAACAUCUAAGUACCCCGAGGAAAAGAAAUCAACCGAGAUUCCCCCAGUAGCGGCGAGCGAACGGGGAGGAGCCCAGAGCCUGAAUCAGCAUGUGUGUUAGUGGAAGCGUCUGGAAAGGCGCGCGAUACAGGGUGACAGCCCCGUACACAAAAGCGCAUGUGCUGUGAGCUCGAUGAGUAGGGCGGGACACGUGGUAUCCUGUCUGAAUAUGGGGGGACCAUCCUCCAAGGCUAAAUACUCCUGACUGACCGAUAGUGAACCAGUACCGUGAGGGAAAGGCGAAAAGAACCCCGGCGAGGGGAGUGAAAAAGAACCUGAAACCGUGUACGUACAAGCAGUGGGAGCACCCUUCGGGGUGUGACUGCGUACCUUUUGUAUAAUGGGUCAGCGACUUAUAUUCUGUAGCAAGGUUAACCGUAUAGGGGAGCCGUAGGGAAACCGAGUCUUAACCGGGCGUUAAGUUGCAGGGUAUAGACCCGAAACCCGGUGAUCUAGCCAUGGGCAGGUUGAAGGUUG
RNAcentral lists this ribosomal RNA (695 nucleotides) under Salmonella enterica subsp. enterica serovar Virchow. RNAcentral's name for it is "partial 23S ribosomal RNA". It matches the Rfam family "Bacterial large subunit ribosomal RNA", at positions 17 to 754 of the family's 2925-position model. The record is from RNAcentral. Lineage: Bacteria; Pseudomonadati; Pseudomonadota; Gammaproteobacteria; Enterobacterales; Enterobacteriaceae.